AUACGGAGGGGGCAAACGUUGUUCGGAUUUACUGGGCGUAAAGGGUGUCUAGGCGGUUCGAUUAGUCUGGUGUGAAAUAUCCUCGCUCAACGAGGAAAACGCAUUGGAAACUGUCGAGCUCGAGAGUGGAAGAGGCAGGUGGAAUUUCUGGUGUAGCGGUGGAAUGCGUAGAUAUCAGAAAGAACACUCGUGGCGAAGGCGGCCUGCUGGUCCAUUUCUGACGCUGAAGCACGAAAGCUAGGGGAGCGAACGGGAUUAGAUACCCCGGUAGUCCUAGCCGUAAACGUUGAACACUGGAUGUCGGGGGUAUCGACCCCCUCGGUGUCGGAGCUAACGCGUUAAGUGUUCCGCCUGGGGAGUACGACCGCAAGGUUGAA
RNAcentral lists this ribosomal RNA (377 nucleotides) under uncultured bacterium. RNAcentral's name for it is "bacterial SSU rRNA". It matches the Rfam family "Bacterial small subunit ribosomal RNA", at positions 523 to 898 of the family's 1533-position model. The record is from RNAcentral.